This is a long non-coding RNA of Venturia canescens, 1869 nucleotides long. RefSeq lists it as uncharacterized. The record is from RefSeq and is a predicted model, not a curated record. NCBI's taxonomy places the organism in Eukaryota, Metazoa, Arthropoda, Insecta, Hymenoptera, Ichneumonidae. The transcript is spliced from 3 exons.
ACCGACCCGUCAAUUUGUGCAAGCGGCAUCGCUUCGAAUGUCAAAGAUCGUUUUUUGGGAGGAGCCCAGUAGCCAAACGUCGAAUGUAGCACCAGAAGUUGGCAGUGGCUGAGUGACGAACGUUCGUAAGCAUGAGCUCAUCGAGGUAAUCCUCCGAGAAGCUUGAAGCCGGACAUUCGCGCACCUACGCGGAUACGCCGGGGGAUCUGAAGCGAUGUAGAAGGAGAUGUGACGGACUGGGGGACCCGGCGCCGCACUGUCGCUGUGUGUACGCGUAUAGGUUCAAUCCUAGCAGUGAAAUUGUGUUAUAGAAUUAAAGAGAGGGGGAGUGAGAGGAUGGAGACUUGGGCGAGUCUCACGAGGAGCGAACUGCUCUCACGCCAGAUCCCGGGAGCCCGUUGCAGUGCAACACACACAGCAGAACUGCACGAUGUCCUGGAUCCUCCGCCUCUUCCUCUCCUUCCUUCCAUUUCUGGUGGUGCAUUAAUUAAGCGCAGAUGCCGAUGCCUUGUCACCCGCCAUUUGCCAUUCGCGUUUGGCCAGAGAGAUAUGAGAGUGAGAGAGCAGCCAGUGGGGGAGUGAUAGGGAAGAGAAGAAAGGGAGAGUAUAGACUCGGAGUAACCAGGACCAGGGUGAACCGGUGCGUUGUGGUUUGGGCGGCACCUAAUUCAUCCUCGUUCGUCCGGAUCGUGUCCGUCCGCCUGUCUUGCUGUUGCCUUCUCACACUCUGCACAAUAUACCCACGCCGCAGCCUAACCUGCCCUGCUUGUAUUCCUAUAUCUGCAUACACGUACAUCCAUGCGGAUAUAGGUAUCGGUCUGUAAAUGGCAAGAGCCCAACUGGUAUACAUUUGCACGUAACUCGUUUGGAUGGGGGAGCUGAUUCUGUACGAACUCUUCUGAUUCAACCGCGGACGCAUCCCCAUAGUGGAAUGAGGUCUGAUCGAGCCACGAUCGAUUUUAUUAGCGUUCAAUGUGCGAGUGUGUGUGAGAGUGGCUUGGGCAGUUGUAGAAUGCAAUUGCAAAGUCAUUCUGAUGAACGGCCACGAUUGCUGCCAAUGAUACCCACAUAUUGACAAAUUUUGUUGGUCUAUUUGAGGAUAAGUGGUCCAUAGUAGUUGGCGCAGGUAAACUCAAUCAUUCGUUGCACCUGCUGGGGUCGCUCGCGAGAAGAGGCGAUCUGCGGCCCUGCCCCUGGAAUAUAAAGUUUUUUCCUUCACUUUUUUAUUUUUGCAUCGAACACUCGAUGACACGUCUCCCUGGAUAUAGUGUUGGUUCUCUUACGACCACGCUAUACGCACACCCGAUCUCACGAAAGCUGUAGCAGACACGUAUAAUCACCCCCCAAACGGUAUAAUGGAUGUGGCAUUCCUGAAACCGGCGGAGGACAUCACGAGAUAAAAAAAGGAAAAAGAAGCCCGGCCGGGCAACCGAGAGAUGAUCCGACGCACCUGUUCCCAGCGACGACCACGGAGACGACGAAGACGACGACGAAAUUGCUACGAUUGCUACCUGGGGCGAUCCUGAGACUUCCUCCACGUUCCGUCGCCGAGUGUUCGUCCUUGGAGGUGCAUCAAAGGUUGCAUUGGGAACGAAUCGACAAUGUCCCGUUUCAUUAUCUCUUCCUUCCUCUCUUCCUUCUGGCUUUAUUUAUCGCUCGAAACAAAGGUGCUAGCGCGGCAGUGUCGAGAAAAAAACAACAGCCCAAGGAUAGAGAACACGUUUAGGGAGCAGGUAGAGAAAUUCGCGGAGUCUUUUCUUCACCUGAUCCUCGGCUGGGCGCCGGUGCCAAGGGAUCUCUGAGGUUUCGUUCCAAGGGCCUCAAACAAACGAUCUUAUGUAUAAUAUAUAAAGUUAUAUGCUACAAGAU